AUUCUGGUUGAUCCUACCAGUGAUAUACGCUCGUCUCAAAGGUUAAGCCAUGCAUGUCUAAGUACAAGCUUCCUAGAAAGUGAAACCGCAUAAGGCUCAGUAUAAC
This 106-nucleotide non-coding RNA is filed under the name Anopheles gambiae (African malaria mosquito). Its description in RNAcentral is "Eukaryotic small subunit ribosomal RNA". It matches the Rfam family "Eukaryotic small subunit ribosomal RNA", at positions 1 to 107 of the family's 1831-position model. Lineage: Eukaryota; Metazoa; Arthropoda; Insecta; Diptera; Culicidae. The record is from Rfam by way of RNAcentral.